Molecule: ribosomal RNA, 343 nt
Filed under: Epiperipatus sp. ony121
Lineage: Eukaryota; Metazoa; Onychophora; Udeonychophora; Euonychophora; Peripatidae
Also listed under: 2 other names
Description: partial small subunit ribosomal RNA
Source: RNAcentral
CCCUGUUAUACUAUCUCAAAAUAAUAAUUCAAAGAACUUACAACAAAAUAAAUUUGACGGUAUUAACUUUUACAAAGGAAUUUGUUUCUUAAUCGACAAUACACGACCCACCUUACUUAAUAUCUAUUUGUAUACCACCGUAAUUGAAACUACUCAAAAUAAGCUUCAUACAAAACCAAAAUUUUUAAAAUCAGGCCAAGGUGCAAUUUUAUUAAGUCGAAAUGAAUUACAUUAAUUCUUAUUUACUUAUAAUAACUGAAACUUUAUUAAAAAUAGAAUUUGUCAGUAAAAUUUUAUCAGAAUGAUUUUUUGAAAAUUACCAUUAAUAUGUACAUAUCGCCCG